RNAcentral lists this unclassified non-coding RNA (241 nucleotides) under Hevea brasiliensis (rubber tree). Lineage: Eukaryota; Viridiplantae; Streptophyta; Magnoliopsida; Malpighiales; Euphorbiaceae. The record is from RNAcentral.
CCAGGUAUUCCCAUAAUUUCACGCAGACUCAGGUCCCGAAAUAAAGCAGCACGUUCUUCGAGAUCGCCAUGAAAGAGCGCAGAGAGAAAGAGAGAGAACUAAAGACGGAAACAAAGAAAGGAAAGGAAAAGAAGUAAACUAUCACUAUCUCGAUUGAGAAAGAGAGAGUGUGGCUUGGGUUCAGCUUUGAAGCUCACUAGCAAGACAGAAUCAGAGAGAGAGAGAGAGAGAGAGAAAGAGA